Non-coding RNA from Stereum hirsutum FP-91666 SS1, 104 nucleotides. NCBI's taxonomy places the organism in Eukaryota, Fungi, Basidiomycota, Agaricomycetes, Russulales, Stereaceae. The record is from the annotation of a RefSeq genome assembly.
AGUUCGAUAGCGCAAUUGUAGUGCGUCUCUUACACAUUGCAUCGCGUCCUCGUUGCCUUAUAUGGGUGGAGAGAAGGAUCUCGGUUCGACUCCGAGUCGAGCUA